This 468-nucleotide ribosomal RNA is filed under the name uncultured bacterium. RNAcentral's name for it is "partial 16S ribosomal RNA". It matches the Rfam family "Bacterial small subunit ribosomal RNA", at positions 28 to 507 of the family's 1533-position model. The record is from RNAcentral.
GACGAACGCUGGCGGCGUGCUUAACACAUGCAAGUCGAGCGGAAAGGCCCUGCUUUUGUGGGGUGCUCGAGUGGCGAACGGGUGAGUAACACGUGAGUAACCUGCCCUUGACUUUGGGAUAACUUCAGGAAACUGGGGCUAAUACCGGAUAGGAGCUCCUGCUGCAUGGUGGGGGUUGGAAAGUUUCGGCGGUUGGGGAUGGACUCGCGGCUUAUCAGCUUGUUGGUGGGGUAGUGGCUUACCAAGGCUUUGACGGGUAGCCGGCCUGGGAGGGUGACCGGCCACAUUGGGACUGAGAUACGGCCCAGACUCCUACGGGAGGCAGCAGUGGGGAAUAUUGCACAAUGGGCGGAAGCCUGAUGCAGCAACGCCGCGUGCGGGAUGACGGCCUUCGGGUUGUAAACCGCUUUCGCCUGUGACGAAGCGUGAGUGACGGUAAUGGGUAAAGAAGCACCGGCUAACUACGUG